This 446-nucleotide ribosomal RNA is filed under the name uncultured bacterium. RNAcentral's name for it is "partial 16S ribosomal RNA". It matches the Rfam family "Bacterial small subunit ribosomal RNA", at positions 338 to 795 of the family's 1533-position model. The record is from RNAcentral.
CCUACGGGUGGCAGCAGUCGAGAAUCAUUCACAAUGGGGGAAACCCUGAUGGUGCGACGCCGCGUGGGGGAAUGAAGGUCUUCGGAUUGUAAACCCCUGUCAUGUGGGAGCAAAUUAAAAAGAUAGUACCACAAGAGGAAGAGACGGCUAACUCUGUGCCAGCAGCCGCGUUAAUACAGAGGUCUCAAGCGUUGUUAGGAAUCACUGGGCGUAAAGGGUGCGUAGGCUGUUUCGUAAGUCGUGUGUGAAAGGCGCGGGCUCAACCCGCGGACGGCACAUGAUACUGCGAGACUAGAGUAAUGGAGGGGGAACCGGAAUGCUCGGUGUAGCAGUGAAAUGCGUAGAUAUCGAGAGGAACACUCGUGGCGAAGGAGGGUUCCUGGACAUUAACUGACGCUGAGGCACGAAGGCCAGGGGAGCGAAAGGGAUUAGAUACCCUGGUAGUC